GUCGAGGGGCAGCACGGGUAGCAAUAUCUGGUGGCGACCGGCGCACGGGUGCGUAACACGUAUACAAUCUACCCUUAACAGGGGGAUAGCCCUCCGAAAGGAGGAUUAAUACCCCAUAAUAAAUUGAAUGGCAUCAUUUGAUUUUGAAAGUUCCGACGGUUAAGGAUGAGUAUGCGUCUGAUUAGCUAGUUGGUGAGGUAAAGGCUCACCAAGGCAACGAUCAGUAGGGGAUCUGAGAGGACUACCCCCCACACUGGUACUGAGACACGGACCAGACUCCUACGGGAGGCAGCAGUAAGGAAUAUUGGUCAAUGGAGGCAACUCUGAACCAGCCAUGCCGCGUGCAGGAAGACGGCCCUAUGGGUUGUAAACUGCUUUUGUACGGGAGAAAACCCUUUCACGUGUGAGAGGUUGAUAGUACCGUAAGAAUAAGCAUCGGCUAACUUCGUGCCAGCAGCCGCGGUAAGACGAAGGAUGCAAGCGUUAUCCGGAUUCAUUGGGUUUAAAGGGAGCGUAGGUGGACUUGUAAGUCAGUGGUGAAAUCUCUCAGCUUAACUGAGAAACUGCCAUUGAUACUGCAGGUCUUGAGUACAGAUGAUGUGGGCGGUAUAUGACAUGUAGUGGUGAUAUACUUAGAUAUGUCAUAGAACACCGAUUGCGA
RNAcentral lists this ribosomal RNA (661 nucleotides) under uncultured Bacteroidota bacterium. RNAcentral describes it as "bacterial SSU rRNA". It matches the Rfam family "Bacterial small subunit ribosomal RNA", at positions 61 to 718 of the family's 1533-position model. The record is from RNAcentral. Lineage: Bacteria; Pseudomonadati; Bacteroidota.